This is a long non-coding RNA of Homo sapiens (human), 3907 nucleotides long. Ensembl annotates it as ENOX1 antisense RNA 1. Its record names the gene ENOX1-AS1. The record is from Ensembl. NCBI's taxonomy places the organism in Eukaryota, Metazoa, Chordata, Mammalia, Primates, Hominidae.
UUUUUUUUUUUUUUUUGGAUAUGUAGUCUCACUCUGUCUCCCAGGCUGGAGUGCAGCAGCACGAUCUUGGCUCAUGGCAACCUCCGCCUCCAGGGUUCAAGCAAUUCUCCUGCCUCAGCCUCCUAAGUAGCUGGGAUUACAGGCAUGAGUCACCACACCUGGCUAAUGUUGGCCAGGCUAGUCUCAAACUGACCUCAAGUGAUCUGCCUGCAUUGGCCUCCCAAAGUGUUGGGAUUACAGGCAUGAGCCAUCGCGCCCAGCCUAAGCUACUGUCUACCAGAAAAAAAAGUACACAGUGAAUCAGAAUCACUUUCUUGCUGUAUAAACUUGGAAAGUUAUUCAUUCUCUCUGAGUGCCAGUUUCUUGGGCUGUAAAUUAAAGCUAAUAUUAUCUCCUUAUCUAGAUUGUUGUAAGGAGUGGAGAUGAUUCAUGUUAAGUGCCUGACCAAAGUUAGGCACUCACUAAAUGAUAUUUUGAAUUAUAAUAAAAUGAGAACCCAAGCACACAACUAUUUCUUAGUAACCUCAUAUAUAAGCAGGCCUCUUGUUGUCUACUGCCUUGAAGAGCCCAUUUAAUCUCCUCUCACCCCACCAAGGGCCAAAACAUGGCCCGACACACAGUUGAUGCUUGAUAAAAGUUGACAGAAUUGAAUUAAGGGGCGGUGCUGUUGUGUUUUCCUGAUAGAGUACACUUAUUGCCAAAAUAAUUAUAGAAAUCAAGUUUUAUGCCCAAAUUAGCUCAUUAAUUUUAGGCUGGGAGCAUAAUCACAAGAGAACCGCCUAUCUCCCAAAUGAUCCAACUACAAAGAGAACAAAAGUCAAGCUUCAUCCAGUAAGCGUCACCUUACCUGGCAGAGGUUUAGCGCAUCUCUCUGCUCUGGGAAGAAGCCAAUAAUUGAAAGCAUCUGCUGGUCAAGACAAGCAGAACAUUUAGGCUGAAGAGGGAGUGAUAUUUUUGCUUAUCUUUAAAAGGAAAGAACGAGUUGAUAAGAGAGAACAGUGGUUUUGCUCUGAAACCAGCCUGACAAACUAUAUUGAACACAGAGGUCCGUACUUAUUUUCUUUCAAAAACUUCCUUUCUUCUGCUCCCAUUUAUACAUAAACAACACAUAUCCCUAAACUCCAUCCAUUGUUUUAUCCUCGAAAUUCUUAGCCCCAAUUGGCCUCACUGGCAGCACAUGCUCUCCUGACCACACAGCUGCGUCCAAGGGAGGUAGGGGCACAACCUUCAAUGGUAUCUCUGCUAUCUCAAAGGAAUUUCAGAUAUCAUUAAAACAAUGUGUCUGCGCCUCUAAAUAAAACAGGCCAGUCAUGUUUCAGUAAACUGACAGUCUUCUCUAAAGGACCCCGAGGUGUACGAAGUUACUGAGUUUUCCCAUCCUACCAUCUUCAAAGUGAUAAAGAAAAUGCAAUUGUUAUGCAACUAGCCUUUCCAGCUGACCCUAGGGUGGCAUUUGCUGUCUACUCUUAAACUACCUCACAAAAAUCAUCUUUUUGUAAAGAUUCUUUGUUUCCUCUCUCAUACAUGCAUAAGAGACCCCGGGGUGGAGGCAGUGUUAGGAUGGGGAGGGAUGGACCGGGCUCCUGGGAAUGGCCUCCAUCAGAGGCCUGGUCUGUGGGCCCCAGUCACCGUGAGGGGUCGGUGGGGAGUGUGGAGCUUCCCAGGAUCCUGCCUCUCUCCCUGUUUUCUGCCAAGCAGCAGGAACACACAAUUCAUUAAAGCAAAGCCAAAGGUCAUGGACUGAGAAAUAGCAAGAAACUUCCAGGGACUUGUUGAUUUUGGAAACUUAAUGUCCACAUUGUGUAACAGUGUGCAUGUUCCCCAGGGGGAAGUAGAUUGCUAUUUAUGUCAGAAAGAUGUUUCAGAAGAAGAUGUCUCCUCCAAGCAAAUAGUAUAUGUCUAGUUGUUGGCAUCUACUAUCCUCUCUCCUCUUUUAUUCAAUAAAGUGAUCCACCUUAUCUGAGCUACACAGACCUCUGAUAGGUGCAGGGGAGGAUGUUGGAGGGGGUGCCAUUUCGAUAGGUUGGCAUUUUCUCUGUAAUGGCAGGAGGCAAUAGAACUAUUUGUUUAUGUUUCAAACAUAAAAUAAUGAAUCAGCACUCGAACAAGUCUUGAAAGAUAAAACGUUCAGUGUUAAUUGAAUCUCUAUAUUGUGCCAGAUAAUAUUUAAGUGCUAGGAAUACGGUGCUGAAUAAGGUCCCUGCCCUCAUAGACAGGUGUUCUAGUAGGAAGAGACAAAACAGACAAGCUAAAACAAAUUUUCAAAGAGUGAUAAGUGCUAUGAAGAUGGUUAAACAUGGAUAGAGACUGAAUGGCUGUGGAGGGGGCAGAUUUCAGCAGAUUUAGGGAAGGCCUCUCAGAUGAGUUGGCAUUAAACCAAAAAACUGCAAUCAAAUAAAUCUCCUUUGCCGCCUCACUGUCGGAGCCCUGCUUACCACAUCUGAAGGAUCCAUAUCUUCCAGAGCUCUGCAGAUUUUGACAGCAGAGAUAUGCUCCUCACACCCCCAGCUUCUGCUUUUUCAUUAUUUGUGACUAUCAAAACAGAAUUUUGAUGACAAAUUAUUUAUAAAUAAACCAAUCAUUAAAAUAUGUAAGAUCUCUCACCUAUCACCAUACAUCUCACUUAACCAUUCUCAUGCAUCCCAAUGACUUGAACAAAAAGAAACAGAACCAGAAAAUAGUCAAAACAGUACAAUUUAAUCUAAAUUAUCCUUCUCACAACAUCACUGAGAUUGACUUGCCAAGUCCUGUUCAUUGUCAGAUUGGAUUCUCUGGAAGUGAGUGCCUUCUGCAAAGUAUCUCAGACAUGGAUAACGCAGGCAGGACUAAACUGCUUUUCUUCCCAUUUGAGUUGCCAAUACCUCCCUCUGGGCCAAUCGAGGAUUAUUGUUUCAACAAUACAUGCAAGCUAAUUGUUUGUUAAGCCGGCCCAGCCAACCAUAAAAUCACAGGAGAGUCAGGCCUGGCCCAUCCUCUUGCCUCUGAACUGGAUCACAGUUAAUAUCUCUGAGAGUUCCACCCCAGGUUCACAGACCAACUGGGGAAGAUGGCUCUUGAGCAAACUCUGAAUUUUGUUUCCAUGAAGAAAGGUUUCUCCAACAUAAUCAACUACAAUCACAAUUUUUGAAACAUUCACAUUCUUAAGUCUGUAUCUGCUUUGGUUUCCUUAAAUAAAAACAAGCCAGAGAUAAAAGUAUGGAAAUAAAAUAGUUUCAAACAGAGAGCCCUGUGGAAGAAUGCACUAACUUAAUAUGUACUUCCAGAUAAAUGACAAGAUACAUGUAUAAGAGAAGCAAACUUCUACAAACAUUCAUUAACAAUGUGUGAAGAUAAAAGUUAUCUUUGAUAGAAAAAGGUAACUGAUAAAGACAUCAAAGAGAAAGAUCUGAAAGUGAACUUUCUACAUACUCACCAGAUAAAACAUAUAAAGGGGCAAUUUUGGUUUGUUUUAUUGUUGUAGGUCUAAAGGAAUACUUUCAUUUUCAGUAGUUUGUCAGCAAACAGCACAGGAAACUUUACUAUUUGAAAUGAGUAGUCUGAGUUAACAAUAGUGACCAGAUAUUAUAAAACCGUGUUCUGCCUAAAUAUAUCCACAAAUCUUCAGAUGGCCUACAAACCCAAUAUUGAGGCUAAAAAAGACAUGACCUCUUGAGAGGCUCUUCUAGAAAGUGGGACUCUCUGGUACUAGGGAUAUAGCACUGUGAACCCCAAAAGGGAGACAGCUCUGACCCCCAGUGCAAUCAGGAAAGACAGAUGCAAGCCCUAACUUAGUUUACAGGUUUGAUGUCCCCACUGCUGUGGGCAUUCCUGUCCAGAAACCCAAGUCCUCCCCAAGAGAGUGGCUAGAGAGUAUAUGCAAACACAAUAAACCUUUCACAGAAAAACAAUGACUUUCUAUGACUAGAAU